UACGUAGGGUGCGAGCGUUGUCCGGAAUUACUGGGCGUAAAGAGCUUGUAGGUGGUUUGUCGCGUUGUUCGUGAAAACUCACAGCUCAACUGUGGGCGUGCGGGCGAUACGGGCAGACUAGAGUACUGCAGGGGAGACUGGAAUUCCUGGUGUAGCGGUGGAAUGCGCAGAUAUCAGGAGGAACACCGGUGGCGAAGGCGGGUCUCUGGGCAGUAACUGACGCUGAGAAGCGAAAGCCAGGGGAGCAAACGGG
This 253-nucleotide ribosomal RNA is filed under the name uncultured bacterium. RNAcentral describes it as "partial 16S ribosomal RNA". It matches the Rfam family "Bacterial small subunit ribosomal RNA", at positions 524 to 776 of the family's 1533-position model. The record is from RNAcentral.